RNAcentral lists this transfer RNA (72 nucleotides) under Camelus bactrianus (Bactrian camel). It matches the Rfam family "tRNA". Rfam says of the family: Transfer RNA (tRNA) molecules are approximately 80 nucleotides in length. Lineage: Eukaryota; Metazoa; Chordata; Mammalia; Artiodactyla; Camelidae. RNAcentral also lists the same sequence under 2 other names. The record is from Rfam by way of RNAcentral.
GAGGGGAUAUCUCAGUGGUAGAGCACAUGCUUAACAUGCACAAGGUCCUGGGUUCAAGUCCCAGUACCUCCA